RNAcentral lists this long non-coding RNA (387 nucleotides) under Ananas comosus (pineapple). RNAcentral describes it as "long non-coding RNA (ACOM_LNC036389)". Lineage: Eukaryota; Viridiplantae; Streptophyta; Magnoliopsida; Poales; Bromeliaceae. The record is from RNAcentral.
AAAAUAGUCGUCGAUUGAUUCACCAUUGUUUAUCUGUAAGCCUAGUUAGUAAAUUCGUGAAUAAUUUGCGAAUUAUUCGUGAAUUUUUGAAGAUACGAAUUAAACGGCCGUUUCCGUAUUUUUCCGAAAAAUUCGGAAAAAAACGCGUAUUUUUCAUACGCGAAUUAUUCGCGAUUCGCAAAUUAUUCGGCAAAAAAAACGGCAAUGGCAAUCGCGGCAGCCGGUCGCAUCGUCGCCGCUCUGGUCGUCGAACUCAUCGGUGUCGUCGUCCUCUUCCUUCUUCGCCGCCCUGGCCGGCACAGAGAGCAAGAGGGCUGCGGGUUGCGUCGUCCGUCUCGCCCGAGGUCGUCCGAGGAAAAUCGCGGUGUUGGGUCGUUGGAAAAUCGC